RNAcentral lists this ribosomal RNA (437 nucleotides) under Bacillus sp. BI3. RNAcentral describes it as "bacterial SSU rRNA". It matches the Rfam family "Bacterial small subunit ribosomal RNA", at positions 1 to 425 of the family's 1533-position model. The record is from RNAcentral. Lineage: Bacteria; Bacillati; Bacillota; Bacilli; Caryophanales; Bacillaceae.
UUUAUUGGAGAGUUUGAUCCUGGCUCAGGAUGAACGCUGGCGGCGUGCCUAAUACAUGCAAGUCGAGCGAAUUGAUUAAGAGCUUGCUCUUAUGAAGUUAGCGGCGGACGGGUGAGUAACACGUGGGUAACCUGCCCAUAAGACUGGGAUAACUCCGGGAAACCGGGGCUAAUACCGGAUAAUAUUUUGAACUGCAUGGUUCGAAAUUGAAAGGCGGCUUCGGCUGUCACUUAUGGAUGGACCCGCGUCGCAUUAGCUAGUUGGUGAGGUAACGGCUCACCAAGGCAACGAUGCGUAGCCGACCUGAGAGGGUGAUCGGCCACACUGGGACUGAGACACGGCCCAGACUCCUACGGGAGGCAGCAGUAGGGAAUCUUCCGCAAUGGACGAAAGUCUGACGGAGCAACGCCGCGUGAGUGAUGAAGGCUUUCGGGUCG